GGGAAAUUUCAGAACUGGUAUUAAUCAAUGACAUGUUUUCUAAUAGAGAAAUGGAAGUCCCAAAGGAGAUGCACCUUGCCCAAAGACUCAUGGUCUAUUCAGUGACCAGCCUUCUGCAUGUCCAACAAGUGCUCAUAUGGGCUAAGUGCUGGCCCAGGAGGAGUUGAGGUGUGGCAGAAGGAACACAGAAUUGGGGACCAAAAGACUCUGGUUCAUGUUCACUCUAUCAGUCCUUUGCUGGGACCUUGAGCUGAUUAUAGCCUCUCCUUGGGUCUCAAGGAGAGACUUCUCCCACCUGAGAAUUGAAGGUGAUAAGCCCACCUACAUCUUGAGGCUCCUGUGGAAAGGAAUCAGGGACACUGUGCCCAUGUUACAACAAAUAUCAUGGACCCUGGUGGGGAGAGUCUCCCUGAAGACCAUGGCUGGAGUCAGGCUGGCCUGGGACCAAAGCCCAGCUCCUGCAAUGAACAGCUGUGUGACAUAGGACAAGUCACUUCCUUAAUUUGAACCUCAGCUCCUCCUCUAUGAACUGUCACCUCCCUGGAUUGGCUUUCUUUGAUCACCUUCUCCAAAGUGGCUUUCCCUGACCUACAUUCCACCGCCCCUUUAUU
This 611-nucleotide long non-coding RNA is filed under the name Marmota monax (woodchuck). The record is from RNAcentral. Lineage: Eukaryota; Metazoa; Chordata; Mammalia; Rodentia; Sciuridae.